RNAcentral lists this ribosomal RNA (871 nucleotides) under Clostridium sporogenes. RNAcentral's name for it is "bacterial SSU rRNA". It matches the Rfam family "Bacterial small subunit ribosomal RNA", at positions 65 to 949 of the family's 1533-position model. Lineage: Bacteria; Bacillati; Bacillota; Clostridia; Eubacteriales; Clostridiaceae. The record is from RNAcentral.
AGCGAUGAAGCUUCCUUCGGGAAGUGGAUUAGCGGCGGACGGGUGAGUAACACGUGGGUAACCUGCCUCAAAGUGGGGGAUAGCCUUCCGAAAGGAAGAUUAAUACCGCAUAACAUAAGAGAAUCGCAUGAUUUUCUUAUCAAAGAUUUAUUGCUUUGAGAUGGACCCGCGGCGCAUUAGCUAGUUGGUAAGGUAACGGCUUACCAAGGCAACGAUGCGUAGCCGACCUGAGAGGGUGAUCGGCCACAUUGGAACUGAGACACGGUCCAGACUCCUACGGGAGGCAGCAGUGGGGAAUAUUGCGCAAUGGGGGAAACCCUGACGCAGCAACGCCGCGUGGGUGAUGAAGGUCUUCGGAUUGUAAAGCCCUGUUUUCUGGGACGAUAAUGACGGUACCAGAGGAGGAAGCCACGGCUAACUACGUGCCAGCAGCCGCGGUAAUACGUAGGUGGCGAGCGUUGUCCGGAUUUACUGGGCGUAAAGGGUGCGUAGGCGGAUGUUUAAGUGGGAUGUGAAAUCCCCGGGCUUAACCUGGGGGCUGCAUUCCAAACUGGAUAUCUAGAGUGCAGGAGAGGAAAGCGGAAUUCCUAGUGUAGCGGUGAAAUGCGUAGAGAUUAGGAAGAACACCAGUGGCGAAGGCGGCUUUCUGGACUGUAACUGACGCUGAGGCACGAAAGCGUGGGUAGCAAACAGGAUUAGAUACCCUGGUAGUCCACGCCGUAAACGAUGGAUACUAGGUGUAGGGGGUAUCAACUCCCCCUGUGCCGCAGUUAACACAAUAAGUAUCCCGCCUGGGGAGUACGGUCGCAAGAUUAAAACUCAAAAGGAAUUGACGGGGGGCCCGCACAAGCAGCGGGAGCAUGUGGUUUAA